Molecule: ribosomal RNA, 497 nt
Filed under: uncultured bacterium
Lineage: Bacteria
Description: partial 16S ribosomal RNA
Rfam family: Bacterial small subunit ribosomal RNA
Source: RNAcentral
GAUGAACGCUGGCGGCGUGCCUAAUACAUGCAAGUCGAGCGAACAGACGAGGAGCUUGCUCCUCUGACGUUAGCGGCGGAUGGGUGAGUAACACGUGGAUAACCUACCUAUAAGACUGGGAUAACUUCGGGAAACCGGAACUAAUACCGGAUAAUAUAUUGAACAGCAUGGUUCAAUAGUUAAAGACGGUUUUGCUGUCACUUAUAGAUGGAUCCGCGCCGCAUUAGCUAGUUGGUAAGGUAACGGCUUACCAAGGCAACGAUGCGUAGCCGACCUGAGAGGGUGAUCGGCCACACUGGAACUGAGACACGGUCCAGACUCCUACGGGAGGCAGCAGUAGGGAAUCUUGCGCAAUGGGCGAAAGCCUGACGGAGCAACGCCGCGUGAGUGAUGAAGGUCUUCGGAUCGUAAAACUCUGUUAUUAGGGAAGAACAAAUGUGUAAGUAAAUAUGCACGUAUUGACGGUACCUAAACAGAAAGCCACGGCUAACUACGUG